GAUGAACGCUGGCGGCGUGCCUAAUACAUGCAAGUCGAGCGAACGGACGAGAAGCUUGCUUCUCUGAUGUUAGCGGCGGACGGGUGAGUAACACGUGGAUAACCUACCUAUAAGACUGGGAUAACUUCGGGAAACCGGAGCUAAUACCGGAUAAUAUUUUGAACCGCAUGGUUCAAAAGUGAAAGACGGUCUUGCUGUCACUUAUAGAUGGAUCCGCGCUGCAUUAGCUAGUUGGUAAGGUAACGGCUUACCAAGGCAACUAUGCAUAGCCGACCUGAGAGGGUGAUCGGCCACACUGGAACUGAGACACGGUCCAGACUCCUACGGGAGGCAGCAGUAGGGAAUCUUCCGCAAUGGGCGAAAGCCUGACGGAGCAACGCCGCGUGAGUGAUGAAGGUCUUCGGAUCGUAAAACUCUGUUAUUAGGGAAGAACAUAUGUGUAAGUAACUGUGCACAUCUUGACGGUACCUAAUCAGAAAGCAACGGCUAACUACGUG
This 497-nucleotide ribosomal RNA is filed under the name uncultured bacterium. RNAcentral's name for it is "partial 16S ribosomal RNA". It matches the Rfam family "Bacterial small subunit ribosomal RNA", at positions 28 to 507 of the family's 1533-position model. The record is from RNAcentral.